Molecule: ribosomal RNA, 493 nt
Filed under: uncultured bacterium
Lineage: Bacteria
Description: bacterial SSU rRNA
Rfam family: Bacterial small subunit ribosomal RNA
Source: RNAcentral
AUUGAACGCUGGCGGCAUGCCUUACACAUGCAAGUCGAACGGCAGCACGGGUGCUUGCACCUGGUGGCGAGUGGCGAACGGGUGAGUAAUAUAUCGGAACGUACCUUAUUGUGGGGGAUAACGCAGCGAAAGCUGUGCUAAUACCGCAUACGAUCUAAGGAUGAAAGCGGGGGAUCGCAAGACCUCGCGCGAUUGGAGCGGCCGAUAUCAGAUUAGGUAGUUGGUGGGGUAAAGGCUCACCAAGCCAACGAUCUGUAGCUGGUCUGAGAGGACGACCAGCCACACUGGAACUGAGACACGGUCCAGACUCCUACGGGAGGCAGCAGUGGGGAAUUUUGGACAAUGGACGCAAGUCUGAUCCAGCCAUUCCGCGUGCAGGAUGAAGGCCCUCGGGUUGUAAACUGCUUUUGUACGGACGAAAAGGUUUGGGUUAAUACCCUGGGCUCGAUGACGGUACCGUAAGAAUAAGCACCGGCUAACUACGUGCCAGCAG